AUGGAUUCAGUGCAGCAGCUGCAGGCCAAGCAGGCAGCACAGCACUACACAUACAAGGCACACACAUCCCAUGCUACUAGUGCUGUUGCCCUUUUGCUCCUGUUGUCUUCUCCGCUCCUGUCGUCUCCUCUCCUCCCCCCCAAAUCCCCCUCCUUUUUUCUUGGUGCUGCUGCUGCUGCACGAAGCCACGAGCGCCUCGCCACCUCGGGAUCGCCUCCAAGAUCCGAUUUUGAUCGCCCCGCCGCCGACGAAUUCGUCGAGACCCGCCCUCGCCGUACCUGCCCAACGGUGCUCGAUUUGGUUGUAGCCUUCUGGUUCUGAAUGUAUGUUAAGGUUGAACUUAAGAGAUUCCGCAUUGUGAAGGAGGUGGGAACAAUAGUAAUGAAUGUUAGGAUCUUUGCUUAUUACCAGUUGAUGCAAGUGUGCCAGGUGAGAUAUUUAUUUGUUGACCUAAAGAAUCCUGUUUCCAAAAUGAUUCAUAGCUGUUGCUAAACAAAAAAUG
This 502-nucleotide long non-coding RNA is filed under the name Oryza sativa aus subgroup. RNAcentral's name for it is "lncRNA OsNaBo_01g0025060". Lineage: Eukaryota; Viridiplantae; Streptophyta; Magnoliopsida; Poales; Poaceae. The record is from RNAcentral.